CGAAACAGGAGGCAAAGGCUCCAUGGAGGUCUAUCCUGAUUCUCCAGAGAGCAAGGUGGAAUGGAGGACCUGCAGAAGUAUCUUUUUUGCAUAACGUGCCCUAGGAGAGGGGCUUCCCAGGUGGAGCUAAUGGUCUAUCCUCAGCCUGGCAGCUGGUGGAGAGAAGAUGGCAUCUCAAUUGUGGACUUGGACGACUCAAUUCUUCAGGGGCCCAAAGUACACACCAGAUGCCACGUUUCCACGGCCUUUAGCAGCGUGAGAACUGUUAUUCUUUCAGAGGUCCUGGUAAGGAACAUAGAACUAAUAAGCCACCAGCAACCGGAAGAGUUCAGGAAAGGUCAAAAGGAGACACUAUGUGUCUGACUACCUCCCUGAAUCCUUCUCACUGGCAUCCAUCUUGGCUGAGUGAUGCAUGUGCCACCAGGAAGGACUCUGAUUCAGAAUGAUUGGCUAAAGACAACCUGGAAACUAAUGCCAUCAACAUAAAACCCAAGAUUGCGAGCCACAUGGCAAAGCAGUCCUCCUGGGCUUCCUUACCCCACUGCUUUCUGCCCGGGCGCCCCUUCCC
Bos taurus (domestic cattle) is the source of this 568-nucleotide long non-coding RNA. The record is from Ensembl. Lineage: Eukaryota; Metazoa; Chordata; Mammalia; Artiodactyla; Bovidae.